This 451-nucleotide ribosomal RNA is filed under the name uncultured bacterium. RNAcentral describes it as "bacterial SSU rRNA". It matches the Rfam family "Bacterial small subunit ribosomal RNA", at positions 355 to 825 of the family's 1533-position model. The record is from RNAcentral.
UCGAGAAUCUUCCACAAUGGACGAAAGUCUGAUGGAGCGACGUCGCGUGAUGGACGAAGUGCUUCGGCACGUAAACAUCUUUUUAUGUGGGACGAAAUUAUUGACGGUACCACAUGAAUAAGGGGCUCCUAACUCUGUGCCAGCAGGAGCGGUAAUACAGAGGCCCCAAGCGUUAUCCGGAAUCACUGGGCGUAAAGGGUGUCGAGGCGGUCAUGUUAGUCGUUCGUAAAAUCCGUGGGCUCAACCUACGGCCGGCGAGCGAAACGGCAUGACUUGAGGUUUGGAGAGGUGCGUGGAACUCACGGUGUAGGGGUGAAAUCCGUUGAUAUCGUGGGGAACACCAAAGGCGAAGGCAGCGCACUGGCCAAAAUCUGACGCUCACACACGAAAGCUAGGGUAGCGAACGGGAUUAGAUACCCAAGUAGUCCCUGAGCGGGCUGGCAAGGCGCAU